Molecule: non-coding RNA, 93 nt
Organism: Hymenopellis radicata
Lineage: Eukaryota; Fungi; Basidiomycota; Agaricomycetes; Agaricales; Physalacriaceae
Source: the annotation of a GenBank genome assembly
UCCCUCUUAGCUCGGUGGUAGAGCGCGUCACUAGUAUGUAGAAUAAGACUCAUAGUUAUGACGAGGUCAGUCGUUCAAGCCGACUAGAGGGAA